This 346-nucleotide unclassified non-coding RNA is filed under the name soil metagenome. RNAcentral describes it as "partial contains 5.8S ribosomal RNA, internal transcribed spacer 2, and large subunit ribosomal RNA". The stretch from base 1 to 120 matches the Rfam family "5.8S ribosomal RNA", at positions 35 to 154 of the family's 154-position model. The record is from RNAcentral.
GAUGAAGAACGUAGCAAAAUGCGAUAAGUAAUGUGAAUUGCAGAAUUCAGUGAAUCAUCGAAUCUUUGAACGCACAUUGCGCCCGCCAGUAUUCUGGCGGGCAUGCCUGUUCGAGCGUCAUUUCAACCCUCAAGCCCUCGGGUUUGGUGUUGGGGAUCGGCGAGCCUUUCUGGCAAGCCGGCCCCGAAAUCUAGUGGCGGUCUCGCUGCAGCCUCCAUUGCGUAGUAGUAAGACCCUCGCAACUGGAACGCGGCGCGGCCAAGCCGUUAAACCCCCAACUUCUGAAUGUUGACCUCGGAUCAGGUAGGAAUACCCGCUGAACUUAAGCAUAUCAAUAAGCGGAGGA